UUAAGUUAUUAAGGGCGCACGGUGGAUGCCUUGGCACUAGAAGCCGAUGAAGGACGUUACUAACGACGAUAUGCUUUGGGGAGCUGUAAGUAAGCUUUGAUCCAGAGAUUUCCGAAUGGGGAAACCCAGCAUGAGUUAUGUCAUGUUAUCGAUAUGUGAAUACAUAGCAUAUCAGAAGGCACACCCGGAGAACUGAAACAUCUUAGUACCCGGAGGAAGAGAAAGAAAAUUCGAUUCCCUUAGUAGCGGCGAGCGAAACGGGAAGAGCCCAAACCAACAAGCUUGCUUGUUGGGGUUGUAGGACACUCUAUACGGAGUUACAAAGGACGACAUUAGACGAAUCAUCUGGAAAGAUGAAUCAAAGAAGGUAAUAAUCCUGUAGUCGAAAAUGUUGUCUCUCUUGAGUGGAUCCUGAGUACGACGGAGCACGUGAAAUUCCGUCGGAAUCUGGGAGGACCAUCUCCUAAGGCUAAAUACUCUCUAGUGACCGAUAGUGAACCAGUACCGUGAGGGAAAGGUGAAAAGCACCCCGGAAGGGGAGUGAAAUAGAACCUGAAACCGUGUGCUUACAAGUAGUCAGAGCCCGUUAAUGGGUGAUGGCGUGCCUUUUGUAGAAUGAACCGGCGAGUUACGAUUUGAUGCAAGGUUAAGCAGUAAAUGUGGAGCCGUAGCGAAAGCGAGUCUGAAUAGGGCGUUUAGUAUUUGGUCGUAGACCCGAAACCAGGUGAUCUACCCUUGGUCAGGUUGAAGUUCAGGUAACACUGAAUGGAGGACCGAACCGACUUACGUUGAAAAGUGAGCGGAUGAACUGAGGGUAGCGGAGAAAUUCCAAUCGAACCUGGAGAUAGCUGGUUCUCUCCGAAAUAGCUUUAGGGCUAGCCUCAAGUGAUGAUUAUUGGAGGUAGAGCACUGUUUGGACGAGGGGCCCCUCUCGGGUUACCGAAUUCAGACAAACUCCGAAUGCCAAUUAAUUUAACUUGGGAGUCAGAACAUGGGUGAUAAGGUCCGUGUUCGAAAGGGAAACAGCCCAGACCACCAGCUAAGGUCCCAAAAUAUAUGUUAAGUGGAAAAGGAUGUGGCGUUGCCCAGACAACUAGGAUGUUGGCUUAGAAGCAGCCAUCAUUUAAAGAGUGCGUAAUAGCUCACUAGUCGAGUGACACUGCGCCGAAAAUGUACCGGGGCUAAACAUAUUACCGAAGCUGUGGAUUGUCCUUUGGACAAUGGUAGGAGAGCGUUCUAAGGGCGUUGAAGCAUGAUCGUAAGGACAUGUGGAGCGCUUAGAAGUGAGAAUGCCGGUGUGAGUAGCGAAAGACGGGUGAGAAUCCCGUCCACCGAUUGACUAAGGUUUCCAGAGGAAGGCUCGUCCGCUCUGGGUUAGUCGGGUCCUAAGCUGAGGCCGACAGGCGUAGGCGAUGGAUAACAGGUUGAUAUUCCUGUACCACCUAUAAUCGUUUUAAUCGAUGGGGGGGACGCAGUAGGAUAGGCGAAGCGUGCGAUUGGAUUGCACGUCUAAGCAGUAAGGCUGAGUAUUAGGCAAAUCCGGUACUCAUUAAGGCUGAGCUGUGAUGGGGAGAAGACAUUGUGUCUUCGAGUCGUUGAUUUCACACUGCCGAGAAAAGCCUCUAGAUAGAAAAUAGGUGCCCGUACCGCAAACCGACACAGGUAGUCAAGAUGAGAAUUCUAAGGUGAGCGAGCGAACUCUCGUUAAGGAACUCGGCAAAAUGACCCCGUAACUUCGGGAGAAGGGGUGCUCUUUAGGGUUAACGCCCAGAAGAGCCGCAGUGAAUAGGCCCAAGCGACUGUUUAUCAAAAACACAGGUCUCUGCUAAACCGUAAGGUGAUGUAUAGGGGCUGACGCCUGCCCGGUGCUGGAAGGUUAAGAGGAGUGGUUAGCUUCUGCGAAGCUACGAAUCGAAGCCCCAGUAAACGGCGGCCGUAACUAUAACGGUCCUAAGGUAGCGAAAUUCCUUGUCGGGUAAGUUCCGACCCGCACGAAAGGCGUAACGAUUUGGGCACUGUCUCAACGAGAGACUCGGUGAAAUCAUAGUACCUGUGAAGAUGCAGGUUACCCGCGACAGGACGGAAAGACCCCGUGGAGCUUUACUGUAGC
This 2110-nucleotide ribosomal RNA is filed under the name Staphylococcus aureus R0611. RNAcentral's name for it is "bacterial LSU rRNA". It matches the Rfam family "Bacterial large subunit ribosomal RNA", at positions 3 to 2110 of the family's 2925-position model. Lineage: Bacteria; Bacillati; Bacillota; Bacilli; Caryophanales; Staphylococcaceae. The record is from RNAcentral.